GUCCUAACCCUAGUCUUAGCUCCAUCGUACAUGUCCUUGAUUACUCUGAUGUAGGCUUCCGACACGCUCUUCGCCUCCAAGCACCUCCAUAGCACCUCGCUUGGGACCUUGUCAUACCGCCUUUUUCAAGUCGAUAAGCACCAUGUGCAGGUACUUCUUCUUAUCCCUGAACUGUUCCACCAGCCGCCUGACAAGGUGGAUA
This 202-nucleotide long non-coding RNA is filed under the name Nicotiana benthamiana. Its description in RNAcentral is "long non-coding RNA (NBEN_LNC037891)". The record is from RNAcentral. Lineage: Eukaryota; Viridiplantae; Streptophyta; Magnoliopsida; Solanales; Solanaceae.